RNAcentral lists this ribosomal RNA (254 nucleotides) under uncultured bacterium. RNAcentral's name for it is "partial 16S ribosomal RNA". It matches the Rfam family "Bacterial small subunit ribosomal RNA", at positions 524 to 776 of the family's 1533-position model. The record is from RNAcentral.
UACGUAGGGUGCAAGCGUUGUUCGGAUUUACUGGGCGUAAAGGGCGCGUAGGCGGUCAGCACAAGUCAGUUGUGAAAUCUCCGGGCUUAACCCGGAAACUGCCAUUGAUACUAUUUGUCUUGAAUACUGUGGAGGUCAGCGGAAUAUGUCAUGUAGCGGUGAAAUGCUUAGAUAUGACAUAGAACACCAAUUGCGAAGGCAGCUGGCUCGACAAAUAUUGACACUGAGGCACGAAAGCGUGGGGAUCAAACAGG